RNAcentral lists this ribosomal RNA (922 nucleotides) under Streptococcus anginosus. RNAcentral's name for it is "bacterial SSU rRNA". The stretch from base 1 to 793 matches the Rfam family "Bacterial small subunit ribosomal RNA". Lineage: Bacteria; Bacillati; Bacillota; Bacilli; Lactobacillales; Streptococcaceae. The record is from RNAcentral.
GACGAACGCUGGCGGCGUGCCUAAUACAUGCAAGUCGAACGCUUUUUCUUUCACCGAGACUUGUCUCACCGAAAGAAAAAGAGUGGCGAACGGGUGAGUAACACGUGGGUAACCUGCCCUCGAGAAGGGGAUAACACUUGGAAACAGGUGCUAAUACCGUAUAACAAUAACUGCCGCAUGGCAGGUAUUUGAAAGGCGCUUUUGCGUCACUCGAGGAUGGACCCGCGGUGCAUUAGCUAGUUGGUGAGGUAACGGCUCAUCAAGGCGACGAUGCAUAGCCGACUUGAGAGGGUGAUCGGCCACACUGGGACUGAGACACGGCCCAUACUCCUACGGGAGGCAGCAGUAGGGAAUCUUCGGCAAUGGACGAAAGUCUGACCGAGCAACGCCGCGUGAGUGAAGAAGGUUUUCUGAUCGUAAAACUCUGUUGUUAGAGAAGAACAAGGAUGAGAGUAGAACGUUCAUCCCUUGACGGUAUCUAACCAGAAAGCCACGGCUAACUACGUGCCGGCAGCCUCGGUGAAUGCGUAGGUGGUGAGCGUUGUGCGGAUUUAUUGGGGCGUAUAGCGAGCUGAUUGCGGUUUUGUAAGUGUGAUGUUGAAGCCCCCGGCCCUGCCGGGGAGGGUUAUGUGAAACUGGAGAACUUGAGUGCAGAAGAGGAGAGUGUAAUUCAUGUGUGGGGGUAAAGGCGUAUAUAGAUGUAGGAAUGUGAUGGAUGAAGGGCAUGUGGUGUGUGUGUUUGUGAUGGUUUGAUGCCUGGUGUGUUGUUGGAGUGAUGCUGAUGAGGUGCAUGAGUGGAUAUGCUGUGUGUUGUUGUGUUCUUGUCUGUCGUCUUUGUGAAUAAAAAAAUGUGUUGUUUGUGUGCUUGAGUGUGGUGUUUUUGUGUGUUUGUGUGUUUGUAUGUGUGUGGUGUGUGGGGGGU